Molecule: long non-coding RNA, 4034 nt
Organism: Solanum lycopersicum (tomato)
Lineage: Eukaryota; Viridiplantae; Streptophyta; Magnoliopsida; Solanales; Solanaceae
Source: RefSeq, a predicted model, not a curated record
UUUUUUGGUUAAAAAAGUUAACCUAAUGAACAUUCGAUUUAAUUCGGCCUCCUUUAUUAAUUUUUAUAAAAACCUUUUCGGAUCUUUUUUUUUGGUCGGCGUGCCGCCGUGGAGUUCUCACCGUCCGAUGCAAAAGGAAUUACGUAUACACAGCAUUCAUCAGGCUCACAUGAUAUUGUGUGCUGUGCGAUUGUGAGGAUGCACUAUUGGAUUGGUGGUUUUAAAAUUGUGAUAUUGGCAAUGGGCUGCGGACAUUUUUCUGUGGAUGGACAAGAAAACUAAUGCAGUGUGCUUGGGUUUGCCACUUCACUUUGGGUGCUUUCUUAGUUGCUUCAGAACCAUUUGCUUACACUUGUUUGCCAUAUACUGAUCCUUUAGUCCUUUCCCUUUGGUCUAAUGCAUCCACCUUCAUCAACAGGUAAGUAUACUCUUUAACUUCCUUAUUAAUUUGUCUACCUUAGGAUAAACCUUGAAAUAUAUGCACCAGAUCUCCACCCGAAAUUCCAGAUGUCAUUCUGCCUGAAUACAUUGUCCUGGGUGUUGCUGCUGCACUCAGGACUGAAAUAAACAAAGCUCUUGAAAAUAAUUUCUAUUGCUGCUACACUCAGUCCUGUUGCUGCUGCACUCAGGACUGUAUGUUAUCAUGUCUUUCUUGUUGAUAUUAUCUUCCGAAAUAAUUCCUGCUACGCCAUACAUAUCUGUAAAGCUUUCAUCGCUAAAUUUAUUUAUUUUUACUUCCAUCCAAUUAAUGUAGUCUAUUUUUUUGUCGGGUGGUUCUACCAUUCUAGAGCGUAGGAGUGUAUGUUAUCAUGUCUUUCUUAGAUGCUUUGGAGCUCACGUUUGGGAUAUUCAAUAAUUGUAUUCGGGUUCAUCUUCCUUCUAGAUUUAGAUGUAAGGUAUAGGAGUUUUAGAGGCUUUUACCUAAUGCUCUUGAAUAUGAACUAGUUUAGCGUGAGGUUAUUUGGGCAAAGUCUAUUCAACAAUCGUUGUUCGGAUACAUAAGCCAUGAUUGUAUUUCCUUGCAAGUGAGAGGGAAAGGUCAGUAUCUGCCUUAUAUAUCUAUCCGUAAAUAGACAAGGGUUUCAAAGUCUUGCCUAGAAUAUUUUUAAUAGAAAUUGAUUUGCUUUUACUAUUUUAUGUGGGUUUGAAAUAUAUAUUUUUCUAGUGAAGUUUAUGUGUAUCAAAGAUUUCGUGAUGAGAAUGUUUAUAAAUGACGUUGAGCUGCUUAUACUUUUCAUCUUAUUCUUGUAUCAAGGUUGUGAAUGCAAGUAUAAGCAGUUUAACAUCAUUUAUAAGUGUUUUCAUCACCAAAUCUUUGUUACGCAUGAACUUUACUAGUGUAGUAUAUAUCUCAAAGCCUACAUAUAAUGGAAAAUGCAAAUCAAUUUCUAUUAAAAACAUUUUGGGCAAGGGUGCACUUCAACUUUGCAGCCCUUACCUCUUUACGGAUGAAUAUUUAAGGUAGAAGCGAACUUUCUCUCCUUGUUCCAAUGAAAUACAAUCCUAUAUCUUCUUUAUCCGAACAAUGGUUGUUAAAUAGACUAGCCCAAAUAUCCCCCACGCGGAACUAGUUCAAAUUUAAGAGUAUGAGGCAAUAUCCCUAAGAACUCAUACACCUUAUGUCUUACUCUAUAAAGAGAAUGGGCGUGGAUAAAAUUAUUAAGCAUCCUAAGUGCAAACAUUAGAACAUUUGAUGUGUCAAAACUUCCUCUUAAAUACAAAGGGAAAACUAUUAUCUAUAGAAAAGAGAAUGCUGCCCGUUACUCAAAUUAAAGUAAGAUCAUCAAUAUAUAUGUAGUUUGUAGAAUAAUAAAAGGUCUUACUCCAAUACCAUUACCACUAGGCCAUAUUCUCGGGGAACAACAUUAUGUUGUUAAACAAAAAAGUAUUAUAAAUUUAUUUGUACUUAUCAGUAGGGAAAUUACAAAGAAGAGCAAGUUAAUCAUUUAGCUGACCACUAGCAAAGAUGAGCUGAAUAUUAAUUAGUAAUAAAUGUACAUGAUGAAGUGUAUAGCUUACUUGUAGGAAUGAGCAAGUGUUGGAUCACAAGGGUGUCGUAAGUGGGUUCAUCAUUCCACUCGGGUUUAUCAUUUCACUCUAUAUCAUAGUAUUAUGGACUAUUUUCUGUUUUCAGUUAUGGGAAACAAGAAAUUAUGGGUAAGUCGGUUAUAUGGGAGCCAUACAUUAUUUAUUUUCUAAAAAUUUCAGUUAAGUAACUUAAUGAGAUGUAGAGUAGUUGAAGAUGUAUGUUUUACUUGAAUUUGCACCACUCAACAGCCUUACAAGUUCUUUCCUAUGCAAUUAUUAGUCUUUCUCUUUUUUGCAUUUUAGGGGAAGUUUUGAGAUCCUAGAUGUUUUCGAACUUGCACAUCAGAUUUUCAAUAAUCGUAUCUAGGUUCAUCCUCCUUCUAGCGUUAGAUGUAAGAUGUAGAAAUUUUUAGGAAUUUUGCCUAAUACUAUUGAGUAUGAAGUAGUUUCGCAUAAGGUUAUUUGGGCAAAAUUUAUUCAACAAUCAUUGUCUGGAUAAAGAAGACAUAAAACUAUAUUUUCUUGCAAGUGAGAGAGAAAGAUUAGCUUCUACCUUAUAUAUCUAUUCGAAAAUGGAUAGAGUUGCAAAGUAUAACUGCACCCUUGCCCAGGAAUAUUUUUAGUAGAAAUUGAUUUGCAUUUCUCAUUUUAUGUAGGUAGGUCUAAGAUAUAUAUAUUGCUCUAGUGAAAUUUAUGUGUAUCAAAUAUUUGGUGAUGAAAAUGCUUGUAAAUGAUGUUGAACUGCUUAUACUUCCAUCCAGUUCCUGUAUUAGGGUUGUGGAUGCAAGUAUAAACAACUCAACAUCAUUUAUAAGCAUUCUCAUCACCAAAUCUUUGCUACACAUGAAUUUCACAAAAACAAUAUAUAUCUCAGUCCUACAUAUAAUGGAAAAUGCAAAUCAAUUUCUAGUAAAAACAUUCUUGGGCAAAGACACACUUCUACUUUGCAAACCUUACCCCUUUACAGAUGGAUAAUUUAAGUAGAAGCUAACAUAUAUCUCCCACUUGCAAAGAAAUAUUGUCCUAUAUCUUCUUGAACCAAACGAUGAUUGUUGAAUACAUCUUACCUUUAAUUCAAGAAGGAGGAUGGGCGUGGAUACAAUUAUUGAGCAUCCUAAGUGCAAAUUCCAGAGCACCUGAAAUGUCAAAACUUCCGUGAAAAUACAAAGAGAAAGACUUGUUAAUUAUAGAGAAGAGAACUUGUAUUCUUGUUUAAUGAUGAAAGUCCCUCAAAUUAAAGUAAGAUUAUCAAUAUAUAUGUAGUUUGUAGAAUAAUCAAAGGUGUUACUCCUAUAUCUUAACCACUAGCCAUCUCCUUUGGGACCAACAUUAUGCUGAUAACCAAAAGUAUUAUAAAUUUAUUCCUACUUAUCAAUAGGAAGAUUACAAAGAAGAUGAGCAUUUCUCAAUCAAGUUUGUUGAGAAAGCUGGGUUUAGCAUGGCUGAGUUAAAUAUCCUUAAUGCUGAAUACAACAUUUACCAGUUCUCAAAAAAAAAGAAGAGAUGGAGCAUUUCUCAAUCAAGUAAAUUUACGUGAAGCUCCGUCAGAAGAUUUGUGUGUAACAACUUGGGAUCACCUAGAUGUAUCUUUAUCUCGAGACGAGACUAGGGACAGAAUGCCGAAAUGGGGAAUGGUUGUGGAUCCUAGCUGUCCUUUCAGAACUCUCCAUCUUUUUUUUUGCUUGUACAGUUUCUGCUCAUAUCCAAGAAGUUCAUGCUAGAGGUAGAAGACAUGCUAAUUGGUUAGAGACUCGCAAUUUCUGUGUAUGUGUUGUACUCUCUGAGGUAGUUACCUCUGAUGCAAAGGGCUCACUGACCAUACUUCAGUUUUUUUAUUCUUUUCCUGUACUCCAAUGUUCAUUGGGGUUAGUAAAAUUGUUUAUUUAUAGGGAAAAAAAGGUUCACAAAGGAUUCAAAAAUGCUUAAGAUACAUUCAAAUUUUUUGUGUAACACUAUAGCAUACUAAUUUGAAUUCUCUCGUAUGAAUUUUCAUAGUCUGUUUUCUU